RNAcentral lists this ribosomal RNA (80 nucleotides) under Gemmula sogodensis. RNAcentral's name for it is "partial 28S ribosomal RNA". The stretch from base 15 to 80 matches the Rfam family "Eukaryotic large subunit ribosomal RNA", at positions 1 to 66 of the family's 3401-position model. Lineage: Eukaryota; Metazoa; Mollusca; Gastropoda; Neogastropoda; Turridae. The record is from RNAcentral.
CUGCCUUUCAUUUCCGACCUCAGAUCGGACGAGAUUACCCGCUGAAUUUAAGCAUAUCACUAAGCGGAGGAAAAGAAACU